UACGAAGGGGGCUAGCGUUGCUCGGAAUUACUGGGCGUAAAGGGCGCGUAGGCGGACAGUUUAGUCAGAGGUGAAAGCCCAGGGCUCAACCUUGGAAUUGCCUUUGAUACUGAUUGUCUUGAGUACGGGAGAGGUGAGUGGAACUCCGAGUGUAGAGGUGAAAUUCGUAGAUAUUCGGAAGAACACCAGUGGCGAAGGCGACUCACUGGCCCGUUACUGACGCUGAGGCGCGAAAGCGUGGGGAGCAAACAGG
This 253-nucleotide ribosomal RNA is filed under the name uncultured bacterium. RNAcentral describes it as "partial 16S ribosomal RNA". It matches the Rfam family "Bacterial small subunit ribosomal RNA", at positions 524 to 776 of the family's 1533-position model. The record is from RNAcentral.